RNAcentral lists this ribosomal RNA (400 nucleotides) under Bacillus aerius. RNAcentral describes it as "bacterial SSU rRNA". The record is from RNAcentral. Lineage: Bacteria; Bacillati; Bacillota; Bacilli; Caryophanales; Bacillaceae.
ACAGAGUGACAGGUGGUGCAUGGUUGUCGUCAGCUCGUGUCGUGAGAUGUUGGGUUAAGUCCCGCAACGAGCGCAACCCUUGAUCUUAGUUGCCAGCAUUYAGUUGGGCACUCUAAGGUGACUGCCGGUGACAAACCGGAGGAAGGUGGGGAUGACGUCAAAUCAUCAUGCCCCUUAUGACCUGGGCUACACACGUGCUACAAUGGACAGAACAAAGGGCUGCGAGACCGCAAGGUUUAGCCAAUCCCACAAAUCUGUUCUCAGUUCGGAUCGCAGUCUGCAACUCGACUGCGUGAAGCUGGAAUCGCUAGUAAUCGCGGAUCAGCAUGCCGCGGUGAAUACGUUCCCGGGCCUUGUACACACCGCCCGUCACACCACGAGAGUUUGCAACACCCGAAGU